CCUCUCGAUGACAGGGCUCUUCAUGGCAAAGGUCUUAUCUAGAUACAUUUUCUAACACCUUCAUGCACAAAGAACAUCCUGCUCUCUAAGACAGAGGAUGAAACUGAGUUGUAGGGAGGGGUUUAGAAAACUUUAUUAACCCCAACCCAGAGUCAGAAAAACAUUUUAUAUCACAACUCAGGACACAGAAUACAUACAAAGCAAUAUUUACCUAACUCUGCGUCGUGCAUGCUAAUAUUUUCUAUUCUAUUUUCUUUUUUUAGCUGCCAGUCAAAACUCACUAAUUUGAUUUUACGACACACUGAUGCAUGGGGACUGGCGGUCUGAAGGCACUGCUAAAGGAAUAAUUAUCCAUUACUAUUUGCAGGGAGUGUGGCAGUGGACCAAGUGCCCAAAAUUGUGUUAUCAACAUUAGAAGCAAAGCCCAGAUCCCCCAAAACCUACAAAUAAUGUAACCAUUUUCCAAGAAUGAAAUUAAUAAGAGUUAAUACAGAAUGGAUGAGAUUAGCUAAAUGUAGAAAUGAAUUCAAAAGCAGGUAAGGCCGCAGGGAUUUGAAUGCUCUGAAGUCCAAUCAGACUGUCCAGGACACGCAGUGUGACAGAAGUCUUCUGGACUCUAGUUCUAAUAUGAAAAUUCAAGACCCGACAGUUUUAUUUUUCCUUGUCUGAAGAAAUAUUACUGACAGCAGGAACUGACUGAAUUGGAGUUUUGUAAGUGGGAAGUCAAAAUACAAGGACUUUGCAGCGGGCCCUUCCAGGGCCCCUGAACACAAAUAUGCAGUCUGUUGGCAGCUCGGUGCCAAGAGGGAAGUGGAGCAUUAGACUCCUGGCUCAACGACAAACGUCCCCUUUCUCUUCCUUUGGAUCCACUAUGCAACUUGUGAUUUAAACACUGGUUUCCUAAAGCAGCAAAAACACACUACCCAGCUAAUGUGAAUUUCUCACCUGCUUGCCAGCUAUAUUUUUCACUGUAAAUUAAUAGUUCAGGAUCUUGAUUAACAUACAUAAGUCUUGUGGGUUUGGUUAUAUGAUCCUUUCUGCGCCGAAUGAAAUAUCAAGGUUGCACAAGGCAGAAAACCAGACCACGAAUAGGGCAGCCCUGCUGGGACGAUGACACUCGGGAGAGAGCCUGCCUGGGCAGCCAGCCAGCCCAGCUCAAAGAAAUCCCUCUCUCAACUCUCUCACUGCACCUAUAAGUCAUUCAGAGGUUAUAAAUGACACACCAAAUAAAAAUGUAUUGGCUUUGUAGAGAAAAGCAUUGACUUACCUUCCUUUGGCCAGCUGGAGUGAAGGAAUAUUAUUGAGACCCUGUCAAAUUUGCUUUCCCAUGCCAGGGCUGUGUGUCACCCAAACUUCCACAGUCUAAAGUUAAUAUUUUUAAGAGAAGAAAAAACAAUUUGUGUCAUAGGAUCUGAUGGCCGCAUCACACCUUAGUAUCUCAAGACAGACUGCCGGGGCUGAUUUUUCAUUACUCCUCUGCAUCAUUCACUCACUCACUCCACACACAUAUCAUGAGCGGCCAGGUUCUAGAGUCAGAGAAGAGAUUAGGGCUCUCCCUCAAGGAGCUCAAAGACCUGACCAAAGUCUCAAAGAGGAUAAAUAUUCAUAGGUCAUCGUGAGAAAUAGUUAUGUGCAGUAUACAGCUAUGGCAUCAAGUAGAAUCGACUCAACUUGAGAGGGGAAAGUGAGAGAUUUCACAGGGGAGCCCUUUCAGGUGGGUCAUGGGGGUACACUGCUCAAAUCUUUCAAGACAGAACUUGCUGCAAGGAAUGUAAUUAGCUGGCCACCAUCAGCUGCCGCUUUUGUGAGGUCUGUCCCAGCAUUCACAUGGAGCCACUCUCUUCCCAGGUUGCCCCCCGUCAAUGACUGGGCCCCACAGGGCUAGGGGAGCUGGCGGUUCCUGGCCAACACAAGAGUCCUCUACCCGGCGACCUUUGCUCUGAAACUCCCCAUCAGCCUGAUUCAGACUUUCUCAGAGCUGCAUUGCGAUCCGAGGUUCUGCCUCCAGAUCCUUCUUCCUCCUCCCUCUCCUUUCACAGGUGUCAGAGCUGCAGCAGGUUCUGACAUUUCUCUCU
This is a long non-coding RNA of Equus caballus (horse), 2075 nucleotides long. Lineage: Eukaryota; Metazoa; Chordata; Mammalia; Perissodactyla; Equidae. The record is from Ensembl.